Molecule: RNase P RNA, 346 nt
Filed under: Lachnospiraceae bacterium
Lineage: Bacteria; Bacillati; Bacillota; Clostridia; Lachnospirales; Lachnospiraceae
Description: RNase P RNA component class A
Rfam family: Bacterial RNase P class A
About the family: Ribonuclease P (RNase P) is a ubiquitous endoribonuclease, found in archaea, bacteria and eukarya as well as chloroplasts and mitochondria. Its best characterised activity is the generation of mature 5'-ends of tRNAs by cleaving the 5'-leader elements of precursor-tRNAs.
Source: RNAcentral
GAAGUAAGUUAAAUAGUCGCAUGUAUGAACUGCAAAGUUGUACAUGAGGAAAGUCCGGGCUCCACAGAGCAAUAAUGCUGGAUAACGUCCAGUGAGGGAAACCUUAAGGAAAGUGCAACAGAAAAUAACCGCCAAUUUUUUGGUAAGGGUGAAAAGGUGAGGUAAGAGCUUACCGGCAACAUGGAGACAUGUUGCGUCAGUGUAAACCCCAUUUGGAGCAACACCUUAAAAAGAAGGCUAAGGCUGCUCGCCGUCUUCUACCUAGGUGGCUUGAGACAUAUAGCAAUGUAUGUUCUAGAUAAAUGACUAUUCUAGACAGAACCCGGCUUAUCGAUUUGCUUUAUUA